AUCCACCCUUUGAAAACUGAUCCAAAGCCACCUUCUCCUAGUACACUAUCUGGUCGGAAGUUUCUAGUGGCAUUCUUCAGCUCAUUGAAGCUAAAGUUCUUUAAAUUUGCUGCCUGCAAGAUCUCACCCUCACUUCGAGGAGUUUGGGGUACAGAAGCUGAUGAGACCUUGCUACUCAAAUUCUUUCCAUCUCUGCUGGAAUUUUUUGAAUUCAGCCCAGUAUUAGAAGGAGUAUAAGCCUUGAUUCGAUUGCUAAAGCAGAGUCCCAUCAAAACAAACGCUUCAGAACUUCAAUAUUGCAAUUACAAAAGCCAAACUCAAAUCAAACAAAGAGAAAGCUCAGAU
Molecule: unclassified non-coding RNA, 345 nt
Filed under: Hevea brasiliensis (rubber tree)
Lineage: Eukaryota; Viridiplantae; Streptophyta; Magnoliopsida; Malpighiales; Euphorbiaceae
Source: RNAcentral